RNAcentral lists this ribosomal RNA (253 nucleotides) under uncultured bacterium. RNAcentral describes it as "partial 16S ribosomal RNA". It matches the Rfam family "Bacterial small subunit ribosomal RNA", at positions 524 to 776 of the family's 1533-position model. The record is from RNAcentral.
UACGGAGGGGACUAGCGUUGUUCGGAAUUACUGGGCGUAAAGCGCACGUAGGCGGAUUUGUAAGUCAGGGGUGAAAUCCCGGGGCUCAACCUCGGAACUGCCUUUGAUACUGCAAAUCUCGAGUCCGGAAGAGGUGAGUGGAAUUCCUAGUGUAGAGGUGAAAUUCGUAGAUAUUAGGAAGAACACCAGUGGCGAAGGCGGCUCACUGGUCCGGUACUGACGCUGAGGUGCGGAAGCGUGGGGAGCAAACAGG